GAGUUUGAUCGUGGCUCAGAUUGAACGCUGGCGGCAGGCCUAACACAUGCAAGUCGAGCGGUAGAGAGAAGCUUGCUUCUCUUGAGAGCGGCGGACGGGUGAGUAAUGCCUAGGAAUCUGCCUGGUAGUGGGGGAUAACGCUCGGAAACGGACGCUAAUACCGCAUACGUCCUACGGGAGAAAGCAGGGGACCUUCGGGCCUUGCGCUAUCAGAUGAGCCUAGGUCGGAUUAGCUAGUUGGUGAGGUAAUGGCUCACCAAGGCGACGAUCCGUAACUGGUCUGAGAGGAUGAUCAGUCACACUGGAACUGAGACACGGUCCAGACUCCUACGGGAGGCAGCAGUGGGGAAUAUUGGACAAUGGGCGAAAGCCUGAUCCAGCCAUGCCGCGUGUGUGAAGAAGGUCUUCGGAUUGUAAAGCACUUUAAGUUGGGAGAAGGGCAGUAAAUUAAUACUUUGCUGUUUUGACGUUACCGACAGAAUAAGCACCGGCUAACUCUGUGCCAGCA
RNAcentral lists this ribosomal RNA (508 nucleotides) under uncultured bacterium. RNAcentral's name for it is "bacterial SSU rRNA". It matches the Rfam family "Bacterial small subunit ribosomal RNA", at positions 9 to 513 of the family's 1533-position model. The record is from RNAcentral.